Molecule: long non-coding RNA, 385 nt
Filed under: Capsicum annuum
Lineage: Eukaryota; Viridiplantae; Streptophyta; Magnoliopsida; Solanales; Solanaceae
Description: long non-coding RNA (CANN_LNC012528)
Source: RNAcentral
CCCUUUCUUUGGAAAUAUCAUGAUUCCCGAAAAGGCCACUAUGAAUGCGUUGUAACUGUGCUUUUCCCAGGUCUGGAGACACCCGCCGUUGUUAAGUUUUGGCCCAAACAACCCAAAUCCAUUUUUCUGGCCGUAUCUUUCGUACAAAAACUCUAGACGAACCCAUCCAUUGUCUUAGCAACCCCCUAUGUAUCCUCUUUUAUGUGUAAUAGCUAAAAAAACCUUUCUCCAGUGACAUGCUUUGGUAUCAUAGGUUCUCCUCGGUGAAGAUUCUUUUCUUUUCCCAUAAAUGCUCCUUUUUCUUCCAGUGUGGGAGUGAGCUCAAAUUCGAAGAACCGGAAUACAUUGUUCGACGGAUCCCAAAACUGUACCAAUGUCUCUAUUA